Macaca fascicularis (crab-eating macaque) is the source of this 1608-nucleotide long non-coding RNA. The record is from Ensembl. NCBI's taxonomy places the organism in Eukaryota, Metazoa, Chordata, Mammalia, Primates, Cercopithecidae.
CAGGUAAUUUGCUGAGCCUGAUGGGUGUCAGGGUCAGUCCAAGUGAAAGCAAAGAAAGGCUGGGAUGAAGGGUGCAGGGAAAUAGUGAAAAAAGCAUCAAAAGAUCAAGAAUGGAAUAGUGAGUUGUGGAGGAAGGUAUUGAGGACAAAAGAGUGUAUGGGUUGGGCACCACAGGGUGGAUACACAAAACAGUUUGGUUGAUAAGGCGCAGAUCCUGAACUAAUCUGUAAGACUUGUACAGUUUUUGGACAGGUAAAAUGGGGGAAGUGCAAGGAGAGUUUAUAGGCUUUAAAAAGGCCAUGCUGUAACAGGCAAGUGAUAACAGGCUUUAAUCCUUUUAAAGUGUACUAUGGGAUGGGAUAUUGGCGUUAAGCGGGGUAAGAGUGAUUAGGUUUUAAUGGGAUGGUAAGAGGUGCAUCAUUUGUCACCAAGGAGGGAGUAGAGGUAUCCUAUACUUGUGGAUUAAGGUGGGGAGAUAUAAGGGGAGGAUGCGAAGGAGGCUUUGAACUGGGGAAAAGGCGGCAAUGAGGUGUGGCUGUAGCCCAGGAAUAGUCAGGGAAGCAGAUAAUUUGGUUAAAAUGUCUCAGCCUAAUAAGGGAACUGGGCAAGUGGAGAUAACUAAAAAAGAGCGCAUAAAAGAAUGUUGUCUAAGUUGGGACCAGGGUGGGGGAGUUUUAAGAGGUUUAGAAGCCUGGCCGUCAAUACCCACAACACUUAUGGAGGCAAGGGAAACAGGCCCUUGAAAAGAAGGUAAUGUGGAGUGGGUAGCCUCCAUAUUGAUUAAGAAGGGGACGGACUUACCCUCCACUGUAAGAGUUACCAAAAGCAUCUGUGAUGGUCCUGUAGGCUUCCCAGGCAAUUGGGCAGUGUCAGUCUUCAGCCGCUAAGCUGAGAAGAUCUGGGAAGGAGUCAAUCAGAGUCUUGGGCCAGUUGGACAGUCCAAUUUCCAGCGGGGUCCAACAGAGAUGGGACACAGCUUAAGAGGAAUCCUGGGCUACGGGCAUUCCUUGGCCCAGUGGCCAGAUUUCCAGCACUUGAAGCAAGAUCCUAGGGGAGGAAGUCCUGAAGGAACACCUGACUGCUGUGGCUUAGGCAUUUUGAAGUUUUUGUGCACUGGAGAUGUGGCUGGGGUUUCUCUCACAGCAGAGGCAAGUAAUUGCAACUCUUCUCUGUUGUUGUACACCUUGAAGGUGAGGUUAAUUAAGUCCUGUUGUGGGGUUUGAGGGCUGGAAUGUAAUUUUUGGAGCUUUUCCUAAUGUCGGGAGCUGACUGGGUGAUAAAAUGCAUAUUAAGAAUAAGAUGGCCGGGGCCGGGCACGGGGGCUCAUGCCUGUAAUCCCAGCACUUUGGGAGGCUGAAGCGGGCGGAUCACGAGGUUAGGAGAUGGAGACCAUCCUGGCUAACACGGUGAAACCCCGUCUCUACUAAAAAUACAAAAAAUUAGCUGGGUGUGGUGGUGCGCGCCUGUAGUCCCAGUUACUCGGAGGCUGAGGCAGGAGAAUGGUGUGACCCCCGGGAGGCGGAGCUUUCAGUAAGCUGAGAUCGCACCACUGCACUCCAGCCUGGACGACAAAGCCAGACUCCGUCUCAAAAAAAAAAAAAAAAAAAA